UGCUGACUCUGAGGCCAGUGUCACUUCUUACAUCAUUUGUUGUUUAGCCAACAUGAAGAGCCCCUAAACUACAGCCACAUGUACAGUUGAAGUGGGAAGUUUACAUACACUUAGGUUGGAGUCAUUAAAACUAGUUUACAUACACUUAGGUUGGAGUCAUUAAAACUAGUUUACAUACACUUAGGUUGGAGUCAUUAAAACUAGUUUACAUACACUGAGGUUGGAGUCAUUAACACUAGUUUACAUACACUGAGGUUGGAGUCAUUAAAACUAGUUUACAUACACUUAGGUUGGAGUCAUUAAAACUAGUUUACAUACACUUAGGUUGGAGUCAUUAAAACUAGUUUACAUACACUUAGGUUGGAGUCAUUAAAACUAGUUUACAUACACUGAGGUUGGAGUCAUUAAAACUAGUUUACAUACACUUAGGUUGGAGUCAUUAAAACUAGUUUACAUACACUCAGGUUGGAGUCAUUAAAACUAG
Molecule: long non-coding RNA, 484 nt
Organism: Oncorhynchus keta (chum salmon)
Lineage: Eukaryota; Metazoa; Chordata; Actinopteri; Salmoniformes; Salmonidae
Exons: 3
Source: RefSeq, a predicted model, not a curated record